AGGCCCUGUGCUGUUCCCAGCAGGACAGGAAAAACCACUUAACUCGUCCCAAAGCUUUGGUGUUUGAGCAGCCAAACCCAACGGGCUCUGGUCCCCCUGGCCCCUGGUCCUGCCUGAGGCGUGGAGUGAGUCCCC
This 135-nucleotide long non-coding RNA is filed under the name Cyanistes caeruleus (blue tit). RNAcentral describes it as "lncRNA (ENSCCEG00000016361.1)". The record is from RNAcentral. Lineage: Eukaryota; Metazoa; Chordata; Aves; Passeriformes; Paridae.